Panicum virgatum (switchgrass) is the source of this 1985-nucleotide long non-coding RNA. RefSeq lists it as uncharacterized. The record is from RefSeq and is a predicted model, not a curated record. Lineage: Eukaryota; Viridiplantae; Streptophyta; Magnoliopsida; Poales; Poaceae. The transcript is spliced from 2 exons.
CCGCAUUCCCCUCCCCUUCUGGUCUCCCUUCAUUUUGCUUUCCGCUCCACAGCCGACCAGCACCCCUCUUGCUGUGCUCGCACUCUCUCCCUUCCACCAUCGAAGUCCUGUCUCCAAAGUCUCCCUCAAAAGAUUCAACCUGAAGGUUAACUGUAGGAGGCAGAUCCUGGGAUUCUUCAUCAGGAGUAGCACCGUUGAAUCCCGGAUGCGCCACGCAUGGUUGUGGCCAAAGAUUAGAAGAGCCUUCUUGAACAUCUUGUUCAGGCUGCUUGCUGCAAGGGUUCAGGACGAUUUGCGAGCCAAGAGCGAUGCGUCUAACAUUACUGAAUGUGCAUUGCUUAUUCAGGUUAUUUACGUUGAGUCGUCGCGGAUUGCACAUUCACUGCGCCCCGCGAUGAAACUCCUCGUGUGAAGGCAUAUGACUGUGAAAUAAUGUGUAAGAUGAUAUUGGCAGACAAGGCCAAACUCCUCGUGUGAAGGCAUACCACUGUGAAAUAAUUGCGUAUAGAUGAUAUUGGCAGACAAGGCCAUUAGUUCUGGGUAUACUGAUAAUUCUCAAUGGGGAUGCAGCCAGGUACGAAGCUUGCAUUGACCACAAUUGUACAGUUGGUUGCGUCAUGUUUUAUUUUGCCAUGCUAUUAUCAGCAGUGUAGUAAUGCAAACACAUGCAUGUUUAAUUACACGCGUCCCAGGAAAUUGAACACACCUCAAACUGCCAGGAUGACCACUUCGUCAACAGAUGGUCAUAACAUUGACGGCGGUCAUUCCCCUUCACACCAUCCCAGUGACCCCGAUGCCAGCGACUUAAUUCAGACACUUAACACCUUGUCAAAUAGACUCUGUGAAUUGCUUCAUCAGCAUUGUGGGAACAAGGUAUACCUCCCACCCUACUUUCUGCUAUUGGCAUCCCCAGCCAGGGGCGGAUCCAAUGGAGCCCCUCCCCAAGAAUUUUCAACCAUGAAUGAAGAGGAGGAAAAAGAAAAGGAGGAAGAAGAAAAAGUGAGGAGGGAAGAAGAAGAAGGGAAAAUUAGCCCCCCUAGAUUGAGAUUCUAGAUCCGCCUCCCCAACUGAUUGUUUAAUAUCUUGUCACUUCCAGAUUUUGUGUUAUUUUUGCUAGCUUUCUCCCCACUCCCCAGCAAGUAUCUGCGCUUAGGUGAUACACUGCUGAAAAUACAAGGGCUGUUAACCAGCUCAAGAUCUCAUUGAUGAUCAAAUUCUUCUUGCACAGAAACUUGUUGCUGCAGCAGCCUACAACUACCAAGAAAGUGCUUUAGACAACCGCCAGAUGCACAACAGAACCCACACUGUCAGACAACAGAACCCACAUUGUCCUUUGCUAAUAUAUAAUUUUUGUUAGAAUUGGAUCCUUGGAUUAUUUUUUGUUGGUUUCCAUCUUACCUCUACAAAUUAACUCGAUUCAAGAACAACUCCGACUUAUUGGCACUCACUACGCUCGCAUGUUUCAUGAUAUCUGCCUUCUUUGGGAGAUAAAGACGGUACUUAUCAAAAUAUACCACCAAUGGCUUGGUUGUUUCUUUCUGUACUGUAAGAUUCCUCUAUGUAACUGAAUUAAUUGGGUGUGGUUGUAUCUUUCUGAAUUCAGGCUGAGCAUGGACUGAACCAGGCAGAGUUUAUGUACCAACUUCUAUCCAUGGUUGGAGAUGUAGGGGACAUUCUUGAGUUGCUGAUUAACCUCUUGGAAUUUUGGGCCGCCUGUGGUUAUGCGACAUCAACAAAGCGUCAUCUUUUGCGUUCUAGUUGAGCAUUUGGUAGUGUGCUGGUACGGUUGCGGAUUUGCUUAAAGAUACCGUUGUAUAUUUUUAUUUGGUCAACAUGGGCUACCUCGGGUCAUCUCUAGUAAGACAAUGUAUUUGGUUAUCUAUUGCAGGGCAGAACCGGGCAAAUCCGUGUCAUCUCUAGUAAAUACAAUUUAUUUGGGGGUGUACCCCGUAAUAAUUUAACUACUGUAUCUUGUUUGAACACAA